UUUAUUCACUUCCUCUUGAAAUGACAGUUGAGUGCAAACAUCAGCUUCAUCUCCGUCACAGAUGGUCACAGUGAUAUGAGAUGCAAAAUCUUGUCAAAUGUAGUUUUGAGAAAUUCCUUCACUCUGUGGAAGUCAUGAUCUGCCAUCUUCUCCUUUGUUGUCUGACAGGAGUAUGUCUGGGUCUUGAGGUCCGUCAGUCUCACUCUGACACUUUCACUAAACCAGGAGAUAAAGUGCAGAUCUUCUGCACCCAUGAUAAAACUGACUACAGACUGAUGUUCUGGUACCAGCGCUCACCAGGAGACACAACCAUGAAACUGAUUGGAUAUUUGAGGUUUGGAACUGCUACAAAGGAAGAGGCAUAUAAGGAACAUUUCAACAUCACAGGAGAUUUAAGUGGCGAUAAAGCAAAGAAUGGCUCUCUUACAGUCAAAAUAACUGGACCUGAGCACAGUGCAGUUUAUUACUGUGCAGCCAGUGAUGCACAGUGACUCUAGCUUCUUUCUCCUUUAAACAAAAACCAACUCUUAUCGCAAUUUAUGGUUUUAUAUUAGACCUCAAACAGACUCCUCCCAGCUGCAUUUGCAAUGGAGCCUUCAUGUCUGCCAAUUUUAUUCACUUCCUCUUGAAUUGACAGUUGAGUGCAAACAUCAGCUUCAUCUCCGUCACAGAUGGUCACAGUGAUAUGAGAUGCAAAAUUUUGUCAAAUGUAGUUCUGAGAAAUUCCUUCACUCUGUGGAAGUCAUGAUCUGCCAUCUUCUCCUCUGUUGUCUGACAGGUAUAAUGAUUUAUCAAGGAAUUAACUCAUGUGUAGUGAAAUAUUCCUUGAUGAUUUAUCACAAUUUAACAGUUCUUUUAAUACUUUUCUUUUCACCCAGGAGUCUGUCUGGGUCUUGAGGUCCGUCAGUCUCACUCUGACAUUUUCACUAAACCAGGAGAUAAAGUGCAGAUCUUCUGCAGCCAUGAUAAAACUGACUACAGGCAGAUGCUCUGGUACCAACGCUCACCAGGAGACAGAGCUAUGAAACUAAUUGGAUAUUUGUAUUGGAAAGAUGAGAAAAUGGAGAAAGCAUUUAAUAAUACGUUUAGAAUCUUUGGAGAUUUGGGUGGAGAUAAAGCAAAGAAUGGCUCUCUUACAGUCCAAAUAACUGGACCUGAGCACAGUGCAGUUUAUUACUGUGCAGCCAGUGAUGCACAGUGACUCUAGCUUCUUUCUCUGUUAUACAAAAACCAACUCUUAUCACAAUAUAUGGUUUUAAAUGAGACCUCAAACAGACUCCUCCCACCUGAAAAUUCAGUGAGGCUUUGAUCUCAAUGAACUUAUAGUGGGGUUUUUAAUGACUUCCUCUUCCUCUUUAAAGGUGACCUGAGUACAGAAAUCAACUAAA
This is a non-coding RNA of Solea solea (common sole), 1388 nucleotides long. The record is from the annotation of a RefSeq genome assembly. NCBI's taxonomy places the organism in Eukaryota, Metazoa, Chordata, Actinopteri, Pleuronectiformes, Soleidae.